Molecule: ribosomal RNA, 493 nt
Filed under: uncultured bacterium
Lineage: Bacteria
Description: partial 16S ribosomal RNA
Rfam family: Bacterial small subunit ribosomal RNA
Source: RNAcentral
AUUGGACGCUGGCGGCAUGCUUUACACAUGCAAGUCGAACGGUAACAGGUUAAGCUGACGAGUGGCGAACGGGUGAGUAAUGCAUCGGAACGUGCCCGGUCGUGGGGGAUAACGCAGCGAAAGCUGCGCUAAUACCGCAUACGAUCUGAGGAUGAAAGCGGGGGACCGUAAGGCCUCGCGCGAUCGGAGCGGCCGAUGUCAGAUUAGGUAGUUGGUGGGGUAAAGGCUCACCAAGCCAACGAUCUGUAGCUGGUCUGAGAGGACGACCAGCCACACUGGGACGGAGACACGGCCCAGACUCCGACGGGAGGCAGCAGUGGGGAAUUUUGGACAAUGGGCGAAAGCCUGAUCCAGCAAUGCCGCGUGCAGGAAGAAGGCCUUCGGGUUGUAAACUGCUUUUGUACGGAGCGAAAAGGUCUCCUCUAAUACAGGGGGCUCAUGACGGUACCGUAAGAAUAAGCACCGGCUAACUACGUGCCAGCCGCCGCGGUAA